Molecule: ribosomal RNA, 440 nt
Filed under: uncultured bacterium
Lineage: Bacteria
Description: partial 16S ribosomal RNA
Rfam family: Bacterial small subunit ribosomal RNA
Source: RNAcentral
CCUACGGGCGGCAGCAGUGGGGAAUAUUGCACAAUGGGGGAAACCCUGAUGCAGCGACGCCGCGUGAAGGAAGAAGUAUUUCGGUAUGUAAACUUCUAUCAGCAGGGAAGAAAAUGACGGUACCUGACUAAGAACCCCCUGUUAACUACGUGCCAGCAGCCGCUGACACACGUCGGGGGCAAGCGUUAUCCGGAUUUACUGGGUGUAAAGGGAGCGUAGGCGGGGAAGCAAGUCAGAAGUGAAAGCCCGGGGCACAACUCCGGGACUGCCUUUGAAACUGGUGGACUAGAUUGGACGAGAGGUAAGUGGAAUUCGUAGUGUAGCGGUGAAAUGCGUAGAUAUUAGGAGGAACGCCAGUGGCGAAGGCAGCAUACUGGACUGUAAAUGACGCUGAGGCACGAAAGCGUGGGGAGCAAACAGGAUUAGAUACCCUUGUAGUC